This 465-nucleotide ribosomal RNA is filed under the name uncultured bacterium. Its description in RNAcentral is "partial 16S ribosomal RNA". It matches the Rfam family "Bacterial small subunit ribosomal RNA", at positions 338 to 795 of the family's 1533-position model. The record is from RNAcentral.
CCUACGGGGGGCAGCAGUGGGGAAUAUUGCGCAAUGGGCGAAAGCCUGACGCAGCGACGCCGCGUGAGGGAUGAAGGUCUUCGGAUCGUAAACCUCUGUCAGCAGAGAAGAACGGUCACUGUGCUAAUCAGCAGUGAAUUGACGGUACCUGCAAAGGAAGCACCGGCUAACUCCGUGCCAGCAGCCGCGGUAAUACGGAGGGUGCGAGCGUUAAUCGGAAUUACUGGGCGUAAAGCGCUCGUAGGCGGUAUGUCAAGUCAAGGGUGAAAUCCCCGGGCUCAACGUGGGAACUGCCUUUGAAACUGGCAAACUGGAGUGUGGUAGAGGAUAGUGGAAUUCCAGGUGUAGGAGUGAAAUGCGUAGAUAUCUGGAGGAACAGCAGUGGCGAAGGCGACUAUCUGGCACAUAACUGACGCUGAGGAGCGAAAGCGUGGGUAGCAAACAGGAUUAGAUACCCUAGUAGUC